This 5190-nucleotide long non-coding RNA is filed under the name Sus scrofa (pig). RNAcentral's name for it is "lncRNA (ENSSSCG00030066196.1)". Lineage: Eukaryota; Metazoa; Chordata; Mammalia; Artiodactyla; Suidae. The record is from RNAcentral.
UUUUUUUUUUUUUGUCAAACAUUGGUGCUUAAAAGAAUAUUAUGGUCAACUAGCUUUAGUUAAUAUCAACACAAAUGACAGAUACAUGACAGAUAAUUCAACUCCAGGAAAGAUUUUUAGUUAUUUUGUGACUGCAUUUGAAGACCAGAUAAAACCCUAGCUUUACAAUAUUAACAUUCUAUGGAAAGAAAAAGGUAUAUACAAGAUCUAGUAUACAUGAUUCUAUGAUAUAAUCACUGAAAAUCAAGAUGUAGUAUUUAAAUCUUUGUUGAUACUUUAUGCUGCUAGUCAUCAACAAAUUAAAAAAAAAAAAACACAUGUAGGAGAUAUUAGACAAUGAACCCAUUCAUUGCUUUAAAAUUUUGCCUCUCACAAUUACAAGAAUACAACAAAGGGAAGGGCAUUUGUAAACUCUAAUAGGGAAUUUCAGGAAAUUUAUAGCAAUAGAAUUGGACAACAUUUCAGGGGAAAAAUGCCCUACUGACUGAAAAGAGGUCACAGGCUUUGGAAACUGGAAUGGAAAAUGGACAAUUUUGUGCAGCAGCAAAGGCAGAAGUCAGAAAACUAUGAGUAGGAAUCAAGGCAGUAGAGACAGUUGUUUGUUUCCAAAUAGUCCUUCUCCCUUAUUCCUCUGGUAUAAAACCCCCACAUUUAUCUGGAUAAGCAGCUUUCCUAGUAAGACAAUAUUUCUCAUCCUCCUUGAAGUAGUUAUGUGCAGCCAUGAGUUUAAAUGCUGGCCAAUGGAAUGUGAUGCUUGCAACUUCUGUGCUCCUCACAUCCUCUUCUCCAAUUUCUAUUUUUUUUUAGUUCUUCUUAUUAUUUUUAAUGGCUUCACUCAUAGCAUAUGCAAGUUCCCGGACAAGGAAAUGAAUCUGAGCCACAGCUGCGGCAACGCCAGAUCCUUUAACCCACCAUGUCAGUCCAGGGAUCAAAUGCUCACCUAUUCAGCGACCUGAGCCACUGCAGUCACAUUCUUAACCCACUGCACUGUGACAGGAACUCCUCCAAUUCCUUUUUUUUUUUUUUGUCUUUUUGCCUUUUCUUGGGCCGCUCCUGCAGCAUAUGGCGGUUCCAAUCUCAAUAGUAGGUCAUGUUUGAAAGUUUCUUCACUUGCAAUAUUGUAUCUUUUGUAAUAUGAUAGUUAAACCAUGGGGGCUUCAUAAUUUAGCCAUUCCUUCAGAGUUGAAAAAUUCUUUAAAAACAUAACUAGAUCUUUCUUUCGCAUGCUGUCAGAUCUUCAGGAUAGUUACUGAAACUAUGAGUCUUUCAACUCCAUUCACCUAGAGUGCACCAGCUGCUGACUAGGAAAGAGUGAGGCUGUGACUUCCCCCGAUGUAACAGAUGCUGGAAGUCUUUCCCUCAGAGCAGGAGGCAAUCCAUUGAAGCUGUUAGUGGAUGCUUAAUUGGAGACAAGAUGUUAGUAAAUGCUGCUUUGAGCUUAAGUCUCCUAGGUGAUCAGAUGAGGACCGAGGUAGACAGGAUACCAAAGCAUAACCAAUCAGAGGAGUGGGCAGUCCUGAACACAGCUUGAUCCUUUGCAUACAUGGGGUCACGCUAUUAAAAACUUCCCUGUGAAAUCCUGCAUCGCCCUGGUUAUUGCUUUAUUAUUAAAUAGCAUCACAUGUGUUAUCUUUGGGGUAGUCAUAGUUUUAAUCUUCUGUGGCAUUGAUGGCUAACUGUCCAGCAAAAGUGUGCCCUCUCUAUUUCACUUCAUGGUGUUGAUCCUGGGAGGUAGUUGCCCAAUCAGAGAUACAUUUCCUGUUUGUCUACAGAACUAGUUCCUAACAAAGGAAGAUGAACAAGAAAGACUAUGUCAUCUCCAUCCAGAAGCUUUUAAGCAUAUGAUCUGGAGACAGCAAAUUCAGAGGCCCCAAGAGAUGGUAGAAUCAAAAGGUGGAAAUAUCCUGAGUUCUCUUCAUGGAGGAAAACUGUCUUCCAUGAAUCAGGAGGAAGACCUACAUCAAGCCCUUACAGUAGUAAGAAGUAGAAAAGGUUUGGGUUUAGUAGAUGCAAACUAUUACACUUAAAAUGCACAAACAAGGUCCUAAUCUAUAGCACAGAGAACUCUACCCAGGCUGCAGCAACGCCAGAUCCUUUAACCCACUGUGCUUGGCCAGGGAUCAAACCUGUGUCCUGGUACUGCAGAAACUCCACCAAUCCUAUUGUGCCACAGCAGGAACUCCUGGCACAAUACUGUAAAUCAACUAUACUUUAAUAUUUUUUUAUUUUAAAAAAGAAGUAAAGAAGAUUUGGUCUUUAUUAAUUGGACCAGCUAGGGUAACCCUAUAACUCCAAACUCUAGGAUAAAGGAAAAGAAAAAUACAGAUACAUAGGUCCUUAAUUUCAAGCCUGGCUUGGGAAAUGUCACAUAGUUACAAUCCUAAAAUAGAUGGGAUAGUCUCAACAUUGAUAAGCUGUACGAAUUGAAAGGCAUUUCAUAACUCCACAACAUUUCAUAAAUGUUGACAGUCAUUUUUUAGUAAGAAUUUUAAAAUCAUUAGAAGGAGUUGGGAUCCCUCACUGAGAUAGAUUAUCAAAAUGAAGGAAAUAUCUAAUUUGGCAAAUGAGAAACAAAGAGAUUAAAAACAUGGUUGAGGGCAAGAGUGUAAGAGAGGAACAAAGGACAUCGAGUAUUUUCUCUAGGCCAGAAGUACUCAAACAAGUUAUUCCAUCUCAAAUUUACCCUCCUUGAUAUGGUUAUUAUCAAUCUUAUUUACUUGCUAAAAUAUCAAGUCAGAUUAAAGGCGUGAUAGCACUUGCAAACUGUAAAGUACUAAGAAAAGUGAAGCAAUAUCACUGCUAAUAAAUUAAUCAGAACAGGUCUGCAGAUAGAAGGAUAAUAAAAUUAUAUUAAUUUCAUAUAUCUUUCAGAUCAAAUUUAGAAGUUCAAAGAAAAUUGUAAUUAUACAUUAAUAUAGGCAGUAGAAGUUAGAAUUAAAAUGGGAGUGAGAGGUAAGUGGGUGAUUUAUUCAAGAAGUGAGCAAAUUAACAUUUCAAUGCAAAGCAUAUAUCUUCUUUUUAGAAAAUAAGACUAUCUGGACUAUUAGAUUUGUUUCAAUACAGGAAACAGGUCAUUUUAAGACCGAGCUAUUUAAUUGUGUACUUUUUAAAAUCUAUCCAAUUUGCUGAAAUAAUUGCAUUCCAUGUUUUAAAAUAGACCAUUUAUUACUCCAUAAAGAAAAAUUAAUAGUCAAGAUUUGUAUUCAUUUACAAGUUGAAAGAUUAUUCUAAUUGUUUUGAUCUGUUUCUGAGAAUUUCUAUAGCAACUGUCACCAUAGCUUUUAAAUUUUCAGUUAAAGCUAUUAAAAGAUGAGAAACAUUUCAGCCAGUAAAAAAUUUUUACAUUGAUCUAAAAUUAAAGAGUAUGGAAUACGAGAAGAAAGUAAAAAAAGAGAGAGAGGUAUUUUUUCACUGUUUGCUUAUGUGAACUAAUUACCUUGGGAAAAUAUUGAUAUUCCGAAAGGAUGAGAAAGAAAUAAAAUGUAUCAGAGAGGAGUUCCCUUGUGGCCUUAGCGCUAGGACUCUAUUGUCACUGCUGUGGCUCAGGCUACUGCUGUGAUACAGGUUCAAUCCCUAGCCCAGGAACUCCACAUUCCAAAGACACAGACAAAAACAAAAACAAAAAAAGGUAUCUGAGAAAUGGUUCAGUUAUAUCAGUUAUAUCUGUGCUAAGGUAAUUAGUGUAGUUUGACUUGACUUGGGGAAUGUCAAGCACCUAACUCCCAGGACUAAGGAUUCCAAGAGUUCACCUGAGGGAUCCACCAGGCCCACUUGGAAGCUUCAGUUAUUGGCCUGGACAGCAAGGCUCAUGAGGCCCCUGCCUUGAUAACUCAGCAUCUUGCUGAUUUUCCCUCUACCAUCAUCCAUGCCAUCCACACCAGGACUCUGAUGGUGGCCAUGCCUCAUAAAAAUAUUUUCAUCAAGUCUCUUAGAGUCUGGCUUGUGACUCAUCUUAGUUCCACUGUGCUUGAAGCCCAUCCUUCCCUUGGCCCAACCUAGGUGUCCCUUCUUCCACCCCAAGCCAUUUGUCUACUCGCUGGCCCCUGAAUCUCUUGGUCACCUCUGCUGUCUGCUGUGGCCACGUCACCUAUGUCCCUUUUCCGUUUUCUGUCUAAUAGUCCACCAAGGCCUUACCUACUGCUGGGGUCAUUCUUUCUGGGCUUAGACUAGGUUGUUGCCACCCCAAACCUGGUACUGUAACAUAUACAAACAUGGGAUGUGAGGCUCCAGUGUGGAAUAUCAGACAGAUUCUAACAUUGCAGGACACCAAAGUCAAGUGAACCCCCUUCUAUUCAAAAACAUGAAAUAAACCUCAAAUAACAGUAAAAUACUAAUAAUCAGCUUUAUAUUUAUAAUUUUUAAUAUUUACAAUCAGAAAAAUUAAGUUUUAAGAAUUUCUUUAAAGGAAAAUACUACUGUUAGGGCCUACAUGGGGACUCAUUGUUAAAAUGGCUCAAUCUGCUGACCUCACAAAUAAAAUAUGAGGGCGCAGUAACCCCUGAGACUGACCACCUUGCUCUAGCAACACCCUGAUUUUACCACUGGUGCUUACUUUCCCAAGACUACAAGAUCCCCCUACCAUGGGACACCGCACACUUCAGCUUUCUCAAGAUUACGAGACCACCCUACCGUGGGACACCUCUGACUUUCUCAUGACUACAUGACCAUCAGAGUCCAGCUGCAGGCAAAAGAUAAACUAACUCUUCCUCCCACCCCACCCCCACCGCUUCAGGGAAUCCAGUUUCCCACCUGCGGGGUAUAAGAAGGCCCUGCCAGAAGGGCUGGGGGCUGGCUCUUUUAAACGGUCAGUCACCCUCUUCUUUUCCCUCUAAUAAAUUUUCUUCUCUUUGCCUGAACACCCGGCUUGUUCUCUUUUUCUCUGCACUAGCCUUACAACUACUAGAAAGGGAAUGUAAAUAUUUUAAUUCACUAAGAGAAAACAAAAAAUAGAGACCCAGUGGCAAACAAAAUUGCAAGGAAGCCCGGAAAACAGAAAAUAAGAAUAAGAUAACCGAAGUAAGAAAUUAAACCUUACUUUUUUUCUUUAUAUAUUUUGUAUGCCCUUUUUUUCCUCAGAAAUUUUUCUUCUAGGAUUUUAUUCUAAAGAAACCAUGACUGAUGCAUCAAAGAUAACUACAAGGUUUGUUCACUGCAGUUUUGUUUACUAAUGCAAAAAAUGGAAAAAAUGUC